This is a long non-coding RNA of Polyodon spathula (Mississippi paddlefish), 230 nucleotides long. RefSeq lists it as uncharacterized. The transcript has 3 exons. The record is from RefSeq and is a predicted model, not a curated record. Lineage: Eukaryota; Metazoa; Chordata; Actinopteri; Acipenseriformes; Polyodontidae.
CAGACACAAAAUGAAAAUCUCUCCUUUGGCUGUGUUGAACUGUGCAUUGUUUGCCCUCACCAUCCAGGUGACAGCAGUUGAAGCAAACUUAUCAACCGUGGCAUAUUAUGCAGAGCUGAUACUUGAUGUAGAAGGAGCUGACAGUAUUUCAUCCGACAUACUAUCUGCAAAUUCCCCACUCAUUCUGACUGAUGCUGCAAAUAAUGUCCUACUAACCAACAUUAGCAUCA